RNAcentral lists this ribosomal RNA (428 nucleotides) under Verrucomicrobiota bacterium. RNAcentral's name for it is "Verrucomicrobia bacterium partial 16S ribosomal RNA". It matches the Rfam family "Bacterial small subunit ribosomal RNA", at positions 355 to 776 of the family's 1533-position model. Lineage: Bacteria; Pseudomonadati; Verrucomicrobiota. The record is from RNAcentral.
UAGGGAAUCUUCCGCAAUGGACGAAAGUCUGACGGAGCAACGCCGCGUGAGUGAAGAAGGAUUUCGGUUCGUAAAACUCUGUUGUUAGGGAAGAAAAAAUGUAUAGUAACUAUAUACAAAAGAGACGGUACCUAACCAGAAAGCCACGGCUAACUACGUGCCAGCAGCCGCGGUAAUACGUAGGUGGCAAGCGUUGUCCGGAUUUAUUGGGCGUAAAGCGAGCGCAGGCGGUUAGAAAAGUCUGAAGUGAAAGGCAGUGGCUCAACCAUUGUAGGCUUUGGAAACUGUUUAACUUGAGUGCAGAAGGGGAGGGGGGAGUUCCAUGUGUAGCGGUGAAAUGCGUAGAUAUAUGGAGGAACACCGGUGGCGAAAGCGGCUCUCUGGUCUGUAACUGACGCUGAGGCUCGAAAGCGUGGGGAGCGAACAGG